This 494-nucleotide ribosomal RNA is filed under the name uncultured bacterium. Its description in RNAcentral is "partial 16S ribosomal RNA". It matches the Rfam family "Bacterial small subunit ribosomal RNA", at positions 28 to 507 of the family's 1533-position model. The record is from RNAcentral.
GACGAACGCUGGCGGCGCGCUUAACACAUGCAAGUCGAACGGAAAGGCCUGCUUUCCCUUGUGGAUUGCGGGUACUCGAGUGGCGAACGGGUGAGUAACACGUGAGUGAUCUGCCCCCAACUUGGGUAUAAGCCUGGGAAACUGGGUCUAAUUCCCGAUAGGACUGCAGGGUGGUGCCUGUGGUGGAAAACGAUUUUCUAGUGGUUGGGGAUGAGCUCGCGGCCUAUCAGCUUGUUGGUGGGGUAAUGGCCUAUCAAGGCGGCGACGGGUAGCCGGCCUGAGAGGGUGGACGGCCACAUUGGGACUGAGAGACGGCCCAGACUCCUACGGGAGGCAGCAGUGGGGAAUAUUGCACAAUGGGCGGAAGCCUGAUGCAGCGACGCCGCGUGGGGGAUGACGGCCUUCGGGUUGUAAACUCCUUUCGACCGCGAGGAAGCCACCUGGUUGGAAGGGUGGUGACGGUAGUGGUAGAAGAAGCACCGGCUAACUACGUG